GGGCGUUAAGUUGCAGGGUAUAGACCCGAAACCCGGUGAUCUAGCCAUGGGCAGGUUGAAGGUUGGGUAACACUAACUGGAGGACCGAACCGACUAAUGUUGAAAAAUUAGCGGAUGACUUGUGGCUGGGGGUGAAAGGCCAAUCAAACCGGGAGAUAGCUGGUUCUCCCCGAAAGCUAUUUAGGUAGCGCCUCGUGAAUUCAUCUCCGGGGGUAGAGCACUGUUUCGGCAAGGGGGUCAUCCCGA
RNAcentral lists this ribosomal RNA (246 nucleotides) under Escherichia coli. RNAcentral describes it as "partial 23S ribosomal RNA". It matches the Rfam family "Bacterial large subunit ribosomal RNA", at positions 690 to 934 of the family's 2925-position model. Lineage: Bacteria; Pseudomonadati; Pseudomonadota; Gammaproteobacteria; Enterobacterales; Enterobacteriaceae. The record is from RNAcentral. RNAcentral also lists the same sequence under 1 other name.